UCCAGACUCCUACGGGAGGCAGCAGUGAGGAAUAUUGGUCAAUGGCCGAGAGGCUGAACCAGCCAAGUCGCGUGAGGGAAGACGGCCCUACGGGUUGUAAACCUCUUUUGCCGGGGAGCAAAAAGCGGUACGUGUACCGCAUCGAGAGUACCCGGAGAAAAAGCAUCGGCUAACUCCGUGCCAGCAGCCGCGGUAAUACGGAGGAUGCGAGCGUUAUCCGGAUUUAUUGGGUUUAAAGGGUGCGCAGGCGGAUUUUUAAGUCAGCGGUCAAAUCGUGGGGCUCAACCCCAUCCAGCCGUUGAAACUGGGGAUCUAGAGUGUGCGAGAGGUAUGCGGAAUGCGUGGUGUAGCGGUGAAAUGCAUAGAUAUCACGCAGAACUCCGAUUGCGAAGGCAGCAUACCGGCGCCCGACUGACGCUGAAGCACGAAAGCGCGGGUAUCGAACAGGAUUAGAUACCCGUGUA
RNAcentral lists this ribosomal RNA (464 nucleotides) under uncultured bacterium. Its description in RNAcentral is "bacterial SSU rRNA". It matches the Rfam family "Bacterial small subunit ribosomal RNA", at positions 330 to 792 of the family's 1533-position model. The record is from RNAcentral.